Molecule: ribosomal RNA, 347 nt
Filed under: uncultured bacterium
Lineage: Bacteria
Description: bacterial SSU rRNA
Rfam family: Bacterial small subunit ribosomal RNA
Source: RNAcentral
AAUCGCAGAGAUGUGGAAGGUGCCCGAAAGGGAACCUGAACACAGGUGCUGCAUGGCUGUCGCCAACUCGUGUCGUGAGAUGUUGGGUUAAGUCCCGCAACGAGCGCAACCCUUGCCAUUAGUUGCUACAUUCAGUUGGGCACUCUAAUGGGACUGCCGGUGACAAACCGGAGGAAGGUGGGGAUGACGUCAAGUCCUCAUGGCCCUUAUGGGUAGGGCUUCACACGUAAUACAAUGGCGCAUACAGAGGGCUGCAAACCCGCGAGGGGGAGCCAAUCCCAAAAAGUGCGUCGUAGUCCGGAUUGUUCUCUGCAACUCGAGAGCAUGAAGUCGGAAUCGCUAGUAAU